UCCCCCCCCCCCCGCUCCCCUCCGCUCCCGCUCCCGCCGUGCCCUGGAGAUGCUGUCGGAGCUGCGCCGCCGCCUUCCCCCCCCCUCCCCAGGAAGCGACCCACGGCGCCAGAUCCCACGGAGAUCGUCCCCGGGGUAAGCUGGGCGCGGCCGCUCUUCUGCCUCUCCCGCGGCCAUCGGCGACUGCAGGCAGGGGAAGCGACAGGUGAUGAAGCUUAUGGAAAAAAGACAAAAUGCCUCGGGGUGAGUACAUUCUACCGAGUUUUGCUUCUCUGGGAUCGGUUUGGGAAAAUCCUGUGAAAUUCUAAAAAGCUUCUCUCCGUGUUUUCUAGUUGUUUUUUCAGCCUUGGUCUAAGUUUCAUGUAGAAAAGGGCACAGAAUUAGAACAGGUAAACUAGACUUUCUCGGGAGAGAUGGAAGAAAAGUCUGCUGAUUCCGGUUCUGCUUUUCUUGUCUUCUAUUAGACUGUCAUUUUCUCUCCCCUGCUGUUCAAAUAGGCAGCAAUUAAUUGCUCUGCUGAAGAGUUUGCUGUACUAAGUGUCUGUCAAAUCGAUGCCUUCAACUCAAGGUAGCACCUGCUCCUUAGUUACAAAACGUUCCUCACAGGAGAUUUUCAGGCGUGCCCAUAAAUCUCCUCGCUGUUUGUUUGGGAGAACAGGGUUUUCUCGUCUGUAACAGAAUAGUCAUGGCAUUUGCUAUGGAAUGCUGGUGGCAAUCUAGUCAGAAGAGGACCCCGUGCUUCACUAAUUUUCCCUUUUUGUUGUUCGGGGUGACUUCUUCCCAGGGAUGUUAUUCUUGACCCCCCGGGGCAAACGGAGGUGUCAGCGUCAGGAGCCAUCCUAACUGAGGCCCUGGUAGGCUCCCUCUUUCCCUUCGGUUGCCGUGGAUGUGCCGGACACCUCUGGCAGGACUAACCCUGUGGCUUUUAUGUCCAACGUGCUGUGUGCCUGCAGGUAAGAAAAGCUGGGAGUGCAGUCCCUCUGCUUUGCUUGCUGUGUCUCUUGGGUAGUGAUUUUGGAGGGGAAUCCCAGAGCGAUUUGGUUUGAAGGGGACCUUCAAAGGCCACCCUGCCUUCCG
This is a long non-coding RNA of Pseudopipra pipra, 1077 nucleotides long. RefSeq lists it as uncharacterized. The record is from RefSeq and is a predicted model, not a curated record. The transcript is spliced from 3 exons. Lineage: Eukaryota; Metazoa; Chordata; Aves; Passeriformes; Pipridae.